Molecule: long non-coding RNA, 2016 nt
Filed under: Ficedula albicollis (Collared flycatcher)
Lineage: Eukaryota; Metazoa; Chordata; Aves; Passeriformes; Muscicapidae
Description: lncRNA (ENSFALG00000028230.1)
Source: RNAcentral
AACUGGCAAACGGUCUCUUCUUAAACUUUGCCCAUUUAAACUGUAUUAGCAGUUUACAUACAUCAGUGUGGAUAAAUGACAGCUGUCUGGGAAAAGUACCCAAAACUGAAUUCAACCUCUCCCCCCCCCCCCCCCCCCCCCCCCCCCCCCCCCCCCCCCCCCCCCCCCCCCCCCCCCCCCCCCCCCCCCCCCCCCCCCCCCCCCGCUCUUCCGAUCUGUUUGCUACCCAAGCAGAGAUCCAAGCAUCUCGUGCCUUCACUAAGUUCAGCAUCAGCAGGAAGCCUCAGGCAGACCACCAGGCACAGAUAAACCAGACUGCAAGAGUAUGAAUGUAGCACUUGCUGAUGUGAAUCCACAAUGAAUGUUUCUAAUCAACAUAAAAAGAUGGAGUGACUGUGCAUUACCUUUGGUCUGUGACACAAUUUUAAAUGCUUUUGUAUAAAUUGUUGGGGAAAAUGUCAAACUUGUUCACCAGUGUGUGCUCCUACAGAAAAUUAAUAAAGGAAGUGAUUCUUGCAAAAAUAAUCACUUUAUCUGUGACCUCUUAAGUCUAGAUCCUGAGCUUAAGAACUUAACAUUUACAAUUACAAGAAAAUUUAUAUACAUUAUAGAUUCAAUAGAGGGAUUUGGUUUACAGCAAGUUAUAAUCCCACAAGCAAUAAUUACAUCUCUGUAUCUCCUGAGGGUUAAUUAUAUCAUCACCCUUCUUUGUGCCAACACUUCCUCACUGUUCCACAAGUACCAACCCCUUUAUCUCUCCAAUUAUCUAUCUGACUAAUAGAAACUAAACUUGGAACUAAGUUUUCCAACCAUAUUUUAUUUUCCAAGAUUUUUAUCAACGUAAGUCCCCAAAAGCUUGAAUACCUUACAUUUUGUCUGUUUUUCAGCCAAUGGGGUGCUGCAUCUCUUUGUGAAUCUUGAGCUUGUUAUGUAUAUAAACAGAAAUCAUGUAAUUGUUACUUCUUAUUAGAGAGAGAAAAAAAUUAAUGUUUAAAACGAAAAGAACUAAAAUACAUCAAAACACUUGGCAGCGUUUUGAUGAGCAUAAAAGAAGGGCAAUGUCUGCAUCACUCCCAGUAAAUGAGCAGUGAGACAAUCUGUUAAGCAGCUCUGAUUAGAAGUGCAGCAAAUCUCAGUCUCCAAUGCUUGCCUGAACCAGUGUCUGCCGACAAGGGAAGUCCUAUGGCCAAGGAUCCUCUUUCCCUUUCCUUCAGACUGACAGGUUGGGAAUCUAAAAUCUCCACGUAGAAAUGGUUUCCAUCACUGAGUUUUAAUCUGCCAAACUGACAGAGAAAGCAUGUGAUAUCCAUCUUAAGCUCAGCCAUGAGUUUUAAUCUGCCAAACUGACAGAGAAAGGAUGUGAUAUCCAUCUUAAGCCCAGCCGAGUGAAUAAACUGAACUGCAGCAAUCAAACAACCUCUGGGCACACGAGGUUUUUCUGCUGUGAUGUCAGGAGAUCACACAGCAAAGAGGCAAAGGGAACUGCACCACCUGCACUAAAUAUUCUGGAGAAGAGAAAGAAAACCUAAGAAUAUCGCAGAAUUAUUUAAUAAACACAGGUCACCAGUAGAAAAAAUGCUUCAGGUUACAAACGGUGCCCUGGGUGAAAUGACUGCUACAUUAUCGCUGAGAUUCACCACACGGUGGCACUUGGGACCCGGCGGCCCGGGCAGGGAGUGCCCUGGCUCCCUGCAGCUCCCAGGGCUGCAGGCUCAGCGCAGCUCCGGGCCACCCACUCGCCCACGGCAACUGCAAGAGCAGCAAAAAAGAUGAAAACCCUGCUCCAUUGGAAAUGUUAAAAACACAAACACGUUUCUCACAGCACAGCGUGUAACAAAGAAAUUAACUUCAAUCUCGUUUCGUUGUACCCAUCGUCAUGUGACUGAACUGAUGGAAAACAGCAGCCUUGGGAAUGCUACUUCCAAUGAACAGGAUCUGUAAGGCAUUAAACUCUCGAGCGACGUCCAGUCAUUGCAAAUUACCACCAAGAUAUACUGCAGAUAGCACAGACAAAUU